This 43-nucleotide non-coding RNA is filed under the name Trypanosoma brucei brucei. Lineage: Eukaryota; Euglenozoa; Kinetoplastea; Trypanosomatida; Trypanosomatidae. The record is from RNAcentral.
AACAAACGAUGAAAGAACAAUGAGACUAAGUGAUCGUAUAUAU